Molecule: ribosomal RNA, 497 nt
Filed under: uncultured bacterium
Lineage: Bacteria
Description: partial 16S ribosomal RNA
Rfam family: Bacterial small subunit ribosomal RNA
Source: RNAcentral
GAUGAACGCUGGCGGCGUGCCUAAUACAUGCAAGUCGAGCGAACAGACGAGGAGCUUGCUCCCCUGACGUUAGCGGCGGACGGGUGAGUAACACGUGGAUAACCUACCUAUAAGACUGGGAUAAUUUCGGGAAACCGGAGCCAAUACCGGAUAAUAUAUUGAACGGCAUGGAUCAAUAGUGAAAGACGGCUUUGCUGUCACUUUUAGAUGGAUCCGCGCCGCAUUAGCUAGUUGGUAAGGUAACGGCUUACCAAGGCAACGAUGCGUAGCCGACCUGAGAGGGUGAUCGGCCACACUGGAACUGAGACACGGUCCAGACUCCUACGGGAGGCAGCAGUAGGGAAUCUUCCGCAAUGGGCGAAAGCCUGACGGAGCAACGCCGCGUGAGUGAUGAAGGUCUUCGGAUCGUAAAACUCUGUUAUUAGGAAAGAACAAAUGUGUAAGUAACUAUGCACGUCUUGACGGUACCUAAUCAGAAAGCCACGGCUAACUACGUG